CAGCAGCCGCGGUAAUACGUAGGGUGCGAGCGUUAAUCGGAAUUACUGGGCGUAAAGCGUGCGCAGGCGGUUUUGUAAGACAGGCGUGAAAUCCCCGGGCUCAACCUGGGAAUGGCGCUUGUGACUGCAAAGCUAGAGUGCGGCAGAGGGGGAUGGAAUUCCGCGUGUAGCAGUGAAAUGCGUAGAUAUGCGGAGGAACACCGAUGGCGAAGGCAAUCCCCUGGGCCUGCACUGACGCUCAUGCACGAGAGCGUGGGGAGCAAACAGGAUUAGAUACCCUGUAGUCCCUGUCUCUUAUACA
This 301-nucleotide ribosomal RNA is filed under the name uncultured bacterium. RNAcentral describes it as "partial 16S ribosomal RNA". It matches the Rfam family "Bacterial small subunit ribosomal RNA", at positions 509 to 808 of the family's 1533-position model. The record is from RNAcentral.